AAAAAAAAAAAAAGAAAAAAAAAGAAAAAAAAAAGGCUGACGAAAUGCAGGAAGAUCCUUCUUGUUAUUCUAGCAGUAUUGCUUCCUUUGCUUGGUAGGGGUGCUGAGGAAAUAUCAGCCGCGAGCGCUGCAGAGCAGUUAGCCACUUCUUGCUCACGCUUCAGCAUCUCCCCUGCCCAGGCUAGAAGGUGCUGCGAGCCCGAGUGACUCAUGCAGCUUGUUGCGAUUCAGCUCUCCUCUGGUGCCAGGAAAGACAGAUGUAGAAAAACUUUUGACACGGGUGGGGAAAAAAAAAGACCUGAAGCAAGGCAGGAGAGCAGGCUAGCAUUUCAGCGGGCUGCCCUCCGCCCGCGUCCCACUCGGGGAGCGCUGAGCCGCAGGAGCGGCAGGGUGCCGGCGGAGCUGCUGCUUGUUGUGACACAGCAGCUGGGACGAGCCUUCCGCAUUCCCCAGCCCGCUUAUUAAUACGAAUAACUCAUGACUCACACCGACACUGCCAGCGAGGCCGGGAAACUGUAGUCCGUAACUAUAAAGAGCUAUGAAGGGCUGCUCUCCGGCAGCACCCCAGCCAAGCUUGACGAGUGGUCUGCGACAGGCUUUGUGCGCCUUGUCAUCUGCACGGGUGCAACCCUGCUGCAAAAAGGGCUUGAGCGGUCAGAGGGCUUGGGUGGAAAGGGGAAAAGUUCAGCCGUAGCAUGAGCUAUUUAGGAAGGUAGUUAUGAGGAAGCGGACAAGUUUCUCGUGCCAGCCCCUGGCUUACUCGUAUGAAUAACCCAUGACUAAACCAUUAGCUCCACAGGGGGUUGUGAGAAUGUUAGAAGGAACCUCUGAGCACGCUUGGUCACUGGUGAAAAAAGACAAAUUGCUGGGUGAAGCCCUUCAAUUCCACCCCCCCUAACCCCCCCAGCCCUUACAGGACUGCUUCAUUUCUCUAAGGGCAGCUGCAGCUGAUAGUUCACAGUCAUCUGAGACCUACAUGGCAUCAACAGAAACUCUGAAUUUAUCCACUCCGCUUCUUUUCCUGAGCCACCAAGUAAAUAACUCGCUGUGCAAACCCAUCACUCUUCAGCAGUAUGAUAACAGAAGCUGCUCCGGAGGCGGUGUCCGCUCCCAAUGGGGGAUCUCUCAUGUUCCCAAUCACUUCUGAGCUCCUGGAACAGUUUAGGAGCUCCAGAUGCAUAUGAAGGUGGUACAGGAUGAGCUGAUGCACAUCCUUGAAGAUCAAAUGUGAAGUGCAAUGAAAACCCUGCCUCAGUUCCUGGGCAGCCAGCAGAGUGAAGAAUGACUACAAACAGAAGUUCCCCCUAACUGCAAAUUGAUCUGUGGCGCUACAAAGUAGGAAGCAAUUGCUGUAAAAGACUGGAAUUGUAUCUAUUAAUUUACUUUUGUUUGCUUGUACAAAGUAGGUUGUUUCUUUAUUCCUUUUUAUUCCCUUUCAAGCCAGAGAACGAAUUUAUUGCAAGGUUGAACAAAUGAGCCUUUGAAAAAAGCCCUCAUACCUAACAGAACAACUCUACCUUAUACACGCAUGCAAAAUAGAAGAUAUUCCACUGCUUUAGCUUCAUUUUUCUUUU
Molecule: long non-coding RNA, 1574 nt
Organism: Harpia harpyja (harpy eagle)
Lineage: Eukaryota; Metazoa; Chordata; Aves; Accipitriformes; Accipitridae
Exons: 3
Source: RefSeq, a predicted model, not a curated record